CCCUUAGAUGUUCUGGGCUGCACGCGCGCUACACUGAAGCGUUCAACGAGUAUUCACCUUGCCCGGGAGGGUUGGGUAAUCUUUUUAAAACGCUUCGUGAUGGGGAUAGAUUAUUGCAAUUAUUAAUCUUCAACGAGGAAUGCCUAGUAAGCGCAAGUCAUCAGCUUGCGUUGAUUACGUCCCUGCCCUUUGUACACACCGCCCGUCGCUCCUACCGAUUGAAUGGUCCGGUGAAGCGUUCGGACCGUGGCCUUUGGACGGUUCGCCGUCUGUUGGCUGCGGGAAGUUCGUUAAACCUUAUCAUUUAGAGGAAGGAGAAGUCGCAACA
Molecule: ribosomal RNA, 328 nt
Filed under: uncultured eukaryote
Lineage: Eukaryota
Description: partial 18S ribosomal RNA
Rfam family: Eukaryotic small subunit ribosomal RNA
Source: RNAcentral